AAGGAGAAGUCUUGACUCCAGCACCGCGCGUGAGCUGAGAAGGUAUUUCGGAUCGUAAAACUCUGUUGUUAGGGAAGAACAAGGAUGAGAGUAACUGCUCAUCCCCUGACGGUAUUUAACCAGAAAGCCACGGCUAACUACGUGCCAGCAGCCGCGGUAAUACGA
RNAcentral lists this ribosomal RNA (165 nucleotides) under uncultured Carnobacterium sp. RNAcentral describes it as "partial 16S ribosomal RNA". It matches the Rfam family "Bacterial small subunit ribosomal RNA", at positions 372 to 528 of the family's 1533-position model. The record is from RNAcentral. Lineage: Bacteria; Bacillati; Bacillota; Bacilli; Lactobacillales; Carnobacteriaceae.